CAGAAGAAAACAUCAAACCUCAUGCCAUAAUGAUACCAGUACCACUACAAGGCCACAUUGUACAAUUCAUCAAUCUAGCAAUAAAGCUUGCAUCAAAGGGUCUCACCAUAACUUUUGUCAAUACACAUAUAACUCAUCAAAGGUUGAUGAAAGCUCAAUCAGUCUCUGAAAGCUCAUCGGAUUACAACAUUUUCUCCGAGGCACAGAAGUCUGGCCUUGACAUACGUUACACAACGAUAAGUGAUGGUUUCCCACUGAAUUUCGAUAGGAUGGGGAACCAUGAUCAAUUCAUGGAAGGGUUGUUCCAUGUUUUCUCAACACAUGUAGAUGAUCUUAUUGGAAAUCUCGUCAACUCUAACCAUAAUCCUCCAGUUUCCUGCUUAAUCGCGGACACUUUCUUUGUCUGGCCAUCAGUAAUCGCGAAGAAAUAUGAUCUCCUCAACAUAUCAUUCUUUACUGAAGCAGCUCUGGCAUUCACAAGUUACUAUCAUAUGGACCUCUUAACACUAAAUGGUCACUUUGGUUCCCAAGAUAAUCGUGAGGACACGAUAGAUUACAUACCAGGCGUUCAAGCUAUUGAGCCAGGGGAUCUUCCUUCGUACAUUCAAGAUUCCGAGCCAUGGGAUACAAUGCAUCGAUACAUAUUUAAGUCACUUGAAGAUGCAAGGAACGCGGAUAUGAUCAUUUGCAACACAGUACAAGAGUUAGAGUCGUCAACAAUAUCAGCUCUACAAGAGAAGAAGCCAUUCUAUGCAUUAGGACCAGUUUUCCCAAAUGGCUUCACGAAUAACACCACUCCAACGAAGUCGAACCUAUGGAUGGAAUCAG
Molecule: unclassified non-coding RNA, 828 nt
Filed under: Hevea brasiliensis (rubber tree)
Lineage: Eukaryota; Viridiplantae; Streptophyta; Magnoliopsida; Malpighiales; Euphorbiaceae
Source: RNAcentral